GGGCGGCCUGCCUCGCCCUGCCUCCUCUCUUCCUCCUCCUUUCUUCUUCCUCCUCCCCUUCCUCCUCCUUCUUCUUCCUCUUCCUCUUCCUCUCUCCUCUCUCUCUCUUUUCCUCUCCCCGCCACUCUCGCACUCCCCAUCCUCCUCUCUCCCCUCCCUUCGCAGAGCCACAGGAAAAGAGGAAAGUCGGCUUCGACUGCCAUCUUUUGGGGAUUUGGAAAAACGACUCGGUAGUGCUGUCCUCAGUCUCUGGGGGCAUACUUCUUUCCCGAUCUGGCACAAACGACCCCUCAGGGCUUAAAGACUUGCGAAUGAUGGAUGAUCAAGAUUGCAUUCUUACCCAAAUACUCUUCGUGAUUGCCUGCUUUGCGGCUUUGGGAUUCUUCAGGGAGUAGAGAAUAUUCACACGGGUUGACAUCCCAGUCUUCUCAGCAUUUCCUCCAGAGCCCACUGCCUCAAGGAAGAUGUCUGUCAUUAAAGGGCAAAUGAUCUCCUUGGAAUUCCUAGUUGGCCAGGAGCACUGCCUGAGAAGGAAGGCUGAGGAAUUCAGGGAAGGUUUAAAUUGGAUUCCACCAACCUUUUCCCACAAUUUGAUGAGCAUUUUAAUUCUGUGCAACUGGACUCAGUGUUCCCAGGUCCUAACUCAACUCUGAAAUGGGAUUCAGAAAUCCUCACUGCAUUCUCACCUGUCCAGACAAGAUGGAAAAGUCUAAUUCCAUUUCAAUUCAUUAUUUGUUCAACCAGUAGUUAUUGGACACCAACUGUAUGCUAGGUGCUCAGGGGAAUUCAUCAGUCCCCUGGAGUUUACAGUAGAGCAGACACAGCAAAUACUUGUUACUAUUGUGCACAGUCAUGAGAACUUAUUUUAAAUAAAGGAUGUUGGUGAAUGAAACACGUUUACUAAAUCCAACGGCUGCCGUCACAAGAAUAUCCUGCAAAUGCUAGCUUCUUGUUCUCUAUUGUUAAUAUAUGAAAAAUGUGACUGCCUUCCCCGGUGAGUAUAGACACUUCCUGUACAUAUUUUUCAAAAUGUAUCAAUGGUCAAGGGGCCAGUAGGAGCUAGACAUGAGGGUUUUCUAAGAGUUUCACCACACCUUCUAUCCUGGGUCUAUGAGUUUGAUCCUUGCAUCUCCAGGCAUCUGCAUAGGACUGUGAAAGUUAAUGGGAGAAGCAGAACAAAUGGAGAUUUCUGGA
Molecule: long non-coding RNA, 1194 nt
Filed under: Rhinopithecus bieti (black snub-nosed monkey)
Lineage: Eukaryota; Metazoa; Chordata; Mammalia; Primates; Cercopithecidae
Description: lncRNA (ENSRBIG00000045667.1)
Source: RNAcentral